This 135-nucleotide microRNA precursor is filed under the name Chlorocebus sabaeus (green monkey). RNAcentral describes it as "miRNA (ENSCSAG00000026995.1)". Lineage: Eukaryota; Metazoa; Chordata; Mammalia; Primates; Cercopithecidae. The record is from RNAcentral.
CAAUACAAAUUUAUUUUCCCACAGUUCUGAAGGCUGGAAGUCCAAGAUCAAGGUGCUGGCAGGAUUGGUUUCUCCUGAGGUCUCUCUCCUUGGCUUGUAGAGGCCACUUUCUUGCCGUGUUCUCACGUGACUCUU